Molecule: transfer RNA, 68 nt
Filed under: Dreissena polymorpha
Lineage: Eukaryota; Metazoa; Mollusca; Bivalvia; Myida; Dreissenidae
Description: tRNA-Lys
Source: RNAcentral
UCAUAGAUGGCUGAGUGGUCUAAGCGAUAGACUUUUACACCAGGGUCAGUGGUUCGAGCCCAUUUGAG